Molecule: ribosomal RNA, 465 nt
Filed under: uncultured bacterium
Lineage: Bacteria
Description: partial 16S ribosomal RNA
Rfam family: Bacterial small subunit ribosomal RNA
Source: RNAcentral
CUACGGGUGGCUGCAGUGGGGAAUAUUGGACAGUGGGGGAAACCCUGAUCCAGCAAUGCCGCGUGUGUGAAGAAGGCCUGCGGGUUGUAAAGCACUUUCGGUUGGGAGGACUGCUUCUAGCACUAAUAUUGUUGGAAGUUGACGUUACCUUCAGAAGAAGCACCGGCUAACUCCGUGCCAGCAGCCGCGAUAAUACGGAGGGUGCAAGCGUUAAUCGGAAUUACUGGGCGUAAAGCGCGCGUAGGCGGCUAGUUCAGUCGGGGGUGAAAGCCCCGGGCUUAACCUGGGAACUGCAUCCGAUACUGCCUAGCUUGAGUACGGGAGAGGAGAGUGGAAUUCCACAUGUAGCGGUGAAAUGCGUAGAUAUGUGGAGGAACACCAAUGGCGAAGGCAGCUCUCUGGCCUGAUACUGACGCUGAGGUGCGAAAGCGUGGGGAGCAAACAGGAUUAGAUACCCUAGUAGUC